GCAGCAUCUCAACCUCCUUGUUCUUUCUCAUAUUGUCCAAUUUUAUGACUAAUGUCCGAGACUCAUAAACCAUGAGCCAUUUCUAUUCAAGCGUGCACAUAGCCCAGCUUCUAUUGUUCUACGUGGGGGUCGGAUUGCGUAAUACG
Molecule: non-coding RNA, 146 nt
Organism: Caenorhabditis elegans
Lineage: Eukaryota; Metazoa; Nematoda; Chromadorea; Rhabditida; Rhabditidae
Source: Ensembl